This 435-nucleotide ribosomal RNA is filed under the name uncultured bacterium. Its description in RNAcentral is "bacterial SSU rRNA". It matches the Rfam family "Bacterial small subunit ribosomal RNA", at positions 957 to 1391 of the family's 1533-position model. The record is from RNAcentral.
GAACGCGAAGAACCUUACCAAGGCUUGACAUAUACUGGACCGCAUCAGAGAUGGUGUUUCCCUUCGGGGCUGGUAUACAGGUGGUGCAUGGUUGUCGUCAGCUCGUGCCGUGAGAUGUUGGGUUAAGUCCCGCAACGAGCGCAACCCUCGUUCUAUGUUGCCAGCACGUUAUGGUGGGGACUCAUAGGAGACUGCCGGGGUCAACUCGGAGGAAGGUGGGGAUGACGUCAAAUCAUCAUGCCCCUUAUGUCUUGGGCUUCACGCAUGCUACAAUGGCCGGUACAGAGGGUUGCGAUACUGUGAGGUGGAGCUAAUCCCUAAAAGCCGGUCUCAGUUCGGAUUGGGGUCUGCAACUCGACCCCAUGAAGUCGGAGUCGCUAGUAAUCGCAGAUCAGCAACGCUGCGGUGAAUACGUUCCCGGGUCUUGUACACACC